GACGAACCGUGCAAACGUUAUUCGGAAUCACUGGGCUUAAAGCGCGUGUAGGCGGAUGGGGACGUCGGUCGCUGAAAUCCCCCGGCUCAACCGGGGAACGGGCGCCGAAACGCCCUGUCUGGAGGGACGUAGGGGGACCUGGAACUUCCGGUGGAGCGGUGAAAUGCGUUGAGAUCGGAAGGAACGCCCGUGGCGAAAGCGAGGUCCUGGACGUUUUCUGACGCUGAGACGCGAAAGCUAGGGUAGCGAACGGG
Molecule: ribosomal RNA, 254 nt
Filed under: uncultured bacterium
Lineage: Bacteria
Description: partial 16S ribosomal RNA
Rfam family: Bacterial small subunit ribosomal RNA
Source: RNAcentral